CCCCCCAACUUCCUCACCGGUCUUCCUGCUUCCCCCACUCUUCUCCCUCUCACCGCACUCCCAUGCCAUCCUCCUCCACGAUUUCUCUAAAUUGGUACAAAGAGAAGGAGGGCUUUGGACUGGACCCCCAGCUGCAGUCCCUGCCACCGUGGGACGGGACUCCUGCUUUAUAUAUAGGACGCAGGUCCUGGAUCAUUCGGGACUAUGACUUCAUGGCUGUACGUGGGUUACACCUCUGAUGAGGUAUCCGUCCUCCACGAUCCCUCAGCAGGGGUUGCCCCGCACACGAGCACAGGAGCCCCAAGGGAGGCGUCCCUCUCACCAUGGACCGCUCUGCUCUUGGAGCCCACGGCCUCAGUACUCAGCACGUCCGCCACAGCACCUCUCAUAGGACUGUGCAGGAAUCGCCUGAGGAUCCUGUUUAAAUGUGGCUUCUGACUCAGCAGGCCUGGAGCUGCUCCUGAGAUUCUGCAUUUCUAACCAGGUCCCAGGAGAUGCUGCUGUGGGUAGUAGCAAGGCCCUCGAGGGUCUGAGUACCAACAAAGGCAAACACGGACCAAAUCUACAUAAGACGAACCUGUGCUGGAAACAAACUGUGCUUCCCCUUGGGACACUGGCUCUGGGGUGGUGAGUGUGGAGUCUGAGCCCAGAGGACAGGGUGAUCCCAAGCACUGCUGUCAGCGAGCAGGACAAGCCUUCUCUGUCAUGGGAAUGUGAACUGCAGACACCCCGAUAAUCCUUCCCUCCAGAGCCUUUUUAAUUAGGCAGAUCAGAUCUACCUUCAGAUUUUUGUAUUUCACUUAAUUUCACUCUUCCUCAUUAAAAAAAAAUGUUCUCUGGAUGAAAUGCCCAAUUAUUACCAGUCCCACAUUGGAUGAAAUGCCCAAUUAUUACCAGUCCCACAUUGGAUGAAAUGCCCAAUUAUUACCAGUCCCACAUUGGAUGAAAUGCCCAAUUAUUACCAGUCCCUCAUUGGAUGAAAUGCCCAAUUAUUACCAGUCCCUCAUUCGCAG
Non-coding RNA from Delphinapterus leucas (beluga whale), 1013 nucleotides. The record is from RefSeq and is a predicted model, not a curated record. Lineage: Eukaryota; Metazoa; Chordata; Mammalia; Artiodactyla; Monodontidae.